RNAcentral lists this ribosomal RNA (253 nucleotides) under uncultured bacterium. RNAcentral's name for it is "partial 16S ribosomal RNA". It matches the Rfam family "Bacterial small subunit ribosomal RNA", at positions 524 to 776 of the family's 1533-position model. The record is from RNAcentral.
UACGGGGGGGGCAAGCGUUGUUCGGAAUUACUGGGCGUAAAGGGCUCGUAGGCGGCCAACUAAGUCAGACGUGAAAUCCCUCGGCUUAACCGGGGAACUGCGUCUGAUACUGGAUGGCUAGAGGUUGGGAGAGGGAUGCGGAAUUCCUGGUGUAGCGGUGAAAUGCGCAGAUAUCAGGAGGAACACCGGUGGCGAAGGCGGGUCUCUGGCCCGGUACUGACGCUGAGGUGCGAAAGCGUGGGGAGCAAACAGG